This 430-nucleotide ribosomal RNA is filed under the name uncultured bacterium. Its description in RNAcentral is "bacterial SSU rRNA". It matches the Rfam family "Bacterial small subunit ribosomal RNA", at positions 354 to 796 of the family's 1533-position model. The record is from RNAcentral.
GUGGGGAAUAUUGCACAAUGGGCGAAAGCCUGAUGCAGCAACGCCGCGUGAGGGACGACGGCCUUCGGGUUGUAAACCUCUUUUAGUAGGGAAGAAGCGAAAGUGACGGUACCUGCAGAAAAAGCACCGGCUAACUACGUGCCAGCAGCCGCGGUAAUACGUAGGGUGCAAGCGUUAUCCGGAAUUAUUGGGCGUAAAGAGCUCGUAGGCGGUCUGUCGCGUCUGCUGUGAAAACUGGAGGCUCAACCUCCAGCCUGCAGUGGGUACGGGCAGACUAGAGUGCGGUAGGGGAGAUUGGAAUUCCUGGUGUAGCGGUGGAAUGCGCAGAUAUCAGGAGGAACACCGAUGGCGAAGGCAGAUCUCUGGGCCGUAACUGACGCUGAGGAGCGAAAGCGUGGGGAGCGAACAGGAUUAGAUACCCGUGUAGUCC